UCUUCAGAGAGAACGAGCCGUGAAAUUCCCUGACUAAAUUCAGUUUUGAUCUUCGUUAUAUUCCUAUGAGUGUUUAAAGUUGUGUGCGUCCAGAGAGAAAACCACACACUCAUAUGCUGACACUCCUCAGGACAUACAGCAAAGACGAUACCACUUAGUACCCAUAUACAUGCUCAUCUUCGAUCUGUGCACAGAGAGCACUGUUUAAUACAGCUCAUUAGGAUCUGGCUCCCCCUCUUCAUAUGCUUGUAUAAAUAAAUCUGUUAAACUGGAUUCCUUCUCCGACUUUGGUGUUCUUACCGACACACCCGGACCAGCUUCACCUCAUUAGCAACAGCUAGCACCUUACAGUC
This is a long non-coding RNA of Cyprinus carpio (common carp), 353 nucleotides long. RefSeq lists it as uncharacterized. NCBI's taxonomy places the organism in Eukaryota, Metazoa, Chordata, Actinopteri, Cypriniformes, Cyprinidae. The record is from RefSeq and is a predicted model, not a curated record. The transcript has 2 exons.